AAAUGAGCAAGAAAGGAUGGAUGAAUCAGACAGGCAGCUGAAGAAGCUCCAGCAAAAACUGAGGUAUGUGGCUCAUUUGAGAAGGCAACCUGCCGAAAGAUAUUUUGCUUUCUCUUGUGUCUUCUCUUCUGCCCUUGUUGUAUUUGGAAGAUAUUCUUCCUCUGUGAUCCUCCCCUUUCUUUUG
Molecule: non-coding RNA, 184 nt
Filed under: Palpitomonas bilix
Lineage: Eukaryota
Source: RNAcentral